UCAUCUUCAAUGACGUCACAGGUGAACCCUUUUAAUCAAACCUUUCAAUGAUAUGAACUUAACAGAAGUGACACAGAUUGCCAAUAUAACUCAACAGUGAUGUGAAUGUAUAUUUUGAAGAACUAAAUAUGAGAAUGUUAGGUUAUUUAUUUCUCGUAUUUGUAUUCCACAGGAAUCUCAGAGAACACUCGAAGCACCAAUUACUACAAGGCAAUUAUAAACAAGAACUGAUUGAUGGUUACAAAAACUUAGAAUUUAACGGAUCUCAUGGAAGCACUAUUUCAAAAAUGUCAUAACAAUAAAUAAAUAAACAUCGAAGUUGUA
Molecule: long non-coding RNA, 324 nt
Organism: Leptinotarsa decemlineata (Colorado potato beetle)
Lineage: Eukaryota; Metazoa; Arthropoda; Insecta; Coleoptera; Chrysomelidae
Source: RefSeq, a predicted model, not a curated record